This 440-nucleotide ribosomal RNA is filed under the name uncultured bacterium. RNAcentral's name for it is "bacterial SSU rRNA". It matches the Rfam family "Bacterial small subunit ribosomal RNA", at positions 338 to 776 of the family's 1533-position model. The record is from RNAcentral.
CCUACGGGAGGCAGCAGUAGGGAAUAUUGGACAAUGGGUGAGAGCCUGAUCCAGCCAUGCCGCGUGCAGGAAGAAGGCGUUAUGCGUUGUAAACUGCUUUUGCCAGGGGAUAAAAUAACUGUGCGCAGUUGAUUGAAGGUACCUGGUGAAUAAGCCACGGCUAACUACGUGCCAGCAGCCGCGGUAAUACGUAGGUGGCAAGCGUUGUCCGGAUUUAUUGGGUUUAAAGGGUGCGUAGGUGGCUGUCUAAGUCAGUGGUGAAAUAUCUCAGCUUAACUGAGAGGGUGCCAUUGAUACUGGAUAGCUUGAGUACAGAUGAGGUAGGCGGAAUUGACGGUGUAGCGGUGAAAUGCAUAGAUAUCGUCAAGAACACCGAUAGCGAAGGCAGCUUACCAAGCUGUAACUGACACUGAGGCACGAAAGUGUGGGGAUCAAACAGG